UUUCAGACUAAAAAUGUCGGCUAAGACGCUAGGGAGAAGCCUACUCCCACGUCUUGUUCUCAACCCAUGCUCUAAACCAUCGUGCUCUAGGUUUCAUGUUAUUCCUGGGUCUGUAACAACCCGAUCUACUUGCAGAUACAUCUUCACCAUUCAGCAUAGGUUGGCUGGCGGUAGGUUAGAGGUCAAACUACCUGCACUUCUACCUGCCAGGAGUUUCAGUUUAAGCUCGCCUGUAGCUGAGAUUGCUCAGUUUAAUCUCUCAGAUAUAGGAGAAGGGAUUAAGGAAGUAACGAUUAAGGAAUGGUUUGUGAAGCCUGGAGACAAAGUGUCCCAGUUUGACAAUAUCUGUGAGGUGCAAUCUGAUAAAGCCAGCGUCACCAUUACAUCUAAGUUUGACGGUGUAAUUACAAAACUGUACUAUGAUGUUGAUGAUAUUGCACAGACUGGAGAUCCUUUAGUAGACGUUGAGGUUGCAGGUAGCUCUGAGGUCCCUGUACCUGCUAGUGUUACUCUGGAAUCAGAUGAUGAGGAUAUUGAUGAUUCUAACUUACGAAGGGUCAAGGUGCUGGCUACCCCAGCAGUCAGGCGUAUUGCAUCUGAGAACAAUGUUGCGCUGUCUGACGUAGUGGGAACAGGACGGGAGGGUAGAGUUCUGAAAGAAGAUAUUCUCAACUUUUUAGAUAAUAAAUCCGCCGUUUCCGCCCCUCCGCCUGCCGCUGCCCGGGCUCCACCAGUCAGUCAGAAACCGAAACCAGUUUCGGCGGCGGUGGCGAGGCCAAGAGUCCAAAAAGCGGCCGUUGCAGAAGGCAAGGACAGGGUGGAGCCCCUGAGUGGUAUGGUUAAGGCAAUGACUAAGAAGAUGACUGAGUCCUUGAUGAUCCCACAUUUCGGAUAUUAUGAUGAAAUCAAUAUGUCUAGUCUAGUCACCGUCAGAAAGGAGCUGAAGAGUAUCAGUGAGGCAAGAGGUGUAAAAUUGUCCUACAUGCCUUUCAUUGUCAAGGCCGCUUCUCUAGCUCUUCUUCAGUUCCCAGUUCUCAAUAGUUCUCUAGAUCUUAAGUCAGAGACUGUGACCUAUAAACACAGUCAUAAUAUUGGAGUUGCGAUGGAUACAGCACAGGGUCUACUGGUGCCUAACAUUAAGGGGGUUCAAAAUCUAUCUAUAUUUGAGAUUUCUGAGGAAUUAUCCCGACUGCAGGAGAUAGGAUUGGCCGGUAAACUAACAAAUAAGGAUCUGACAGGAGGCACGUUUUCUCUCUCCAACAUAGGAUCUAUUGGAGGAACCUACGCUAGCCCGGUCAUUAUGGCACCUGAGGUUGCUAUUGGUGCACUUGGAAAACUCAGAGUUCUACCCAGAUUUAACAGUGCUGGUGAGGUGUAUCCUGCACAUAUUAUGAAUGUCAGUUGGUCCGCUGAUCAUAGGCUGCUAGAUGGUGCUACUGUAGCCAGGUUUUCCAACCUAUGGAAGAGUUAUCUAGAAUCUCCAGCAACUCUUCUCCUUGACCUUAAAUAGGUGAUUCUGAUCAAUGCAUUUCUUUGUGCAAGGUGAUAGGUAACGGCAUUCUAGUCUUUUACACUGUACAUGCAUUGUACACACACUGUAUACUGUACGCCAUUUGCUGUUAACAGUGUAGUGUGUACUUAUCAAUACAAGUGUUCACUGUAUACACUUACUCAUAGUUGUGUACAGUUUUAACUAGUUGUUUUGUAAUGUACAGUACAUAGUUUGUUGUACCUUGUCAACUCAAAAUAUUUUAAACUGUGUACUUCAGACAAUGCCUGAAUGUACAGUGAGACCCAUGAAACUGUGGAACGACUUUCUAUGGGCUCUACUGUAUAUAUUGUGCACGGUGUAGAACUAUGUGAACUAUGUACGAAAUGUGCCAUAUUUAUUAAAAGUUUACUAUAGAUAGUAGGGUAACCUAAUGGUAAA
Molecule: unclassified non-coding RNA, 1930 nt
Filed under: Eurytemora carolleeae
Lineage: Eukaryota; Metazoa; Arthropoda; Copepoda; Calanoida; Temoridae
Description: lipoamide acyltransferase component of branched- chain alpha-keto acid dehydrogenase complex, mitochondrial
Source: RNAcentral